AAUAGCCAGACGGCUGAACCAGCAACUUGGAAGAAUGGAUAACGAAUAAGUCGUAUAAAAUUCUAGAUAGAAAACAGAUAAUGACAACUAUCUAUCUAUUAGUCUUGACCAAAUUACGUGCCAGCAGUCGCGGCAACACGCAGAAGACAAGUGUUAUUCAUCUUUAUUCGGUUUAAAGGGUACCUAGACGGGAAAUCAAGCCAUAGUAGGUACUAAUUUUCUAGAGUUUUAUGGAAGAAAGUCGAAUAUCUGGAGUAGAGAUACAAUAUGUUGAUACUGGAUAGACGGUUAACGGUGUAGGCAACUUUCUAUGUAAAAACUGACGUUGAGGGACGAAGCCCUGGGUAACGAGAAGGAUUAGAUACCCCAGUAGUCCAGGGAGACAAUGAUGAGUGCCAUAGGCUAGAAAUAUUAGUCUAUAAAUGAAAGUGUAAGCAUUCCACCUCAAGACUAAAGCGGCAACGCCCAAAUUGAAAUCAUUAGACCGUUCCUGAAACCAGUAGUGAAGUAUGUUAUUUAAUUCGAUGAUCCGCGAAUAACCUUACCACGUUUUGAAUACUACGGGCGCUCGACCAAUUUAAUUUAAAUUAAAUUUAAUAGUAUUACAAGCGCUGCACGGCUGCCUUUAGUUGAUGUCGUGAGAUUUUGGUUAACUCCUCUAAUUAACGAAAACCCUUGUUUUAUAUGUAUAUAUAAAACAGUUCUCCACUAUAUUGGAUAAGAUAAUAGGGAUUAAGGCAAGUCAUCAUGGCCUUAAUAACGUGGGCUAUAGACGUGCCACAUAUGCCUUUACAAAGGGAUGCGAUAUUGUGAAAUGGAGCUAAUCCCCAAAAAAGGACAUAACCAAUCAU
Molecule: ribosomal RNA, 851 nt
Filed under: Verrucaria sp.
Lineage: Eukaryota; Fungi; Ascomycota; Eurotiomycetes; Verrucariales; Verrucariaceae
Description: SSU rRNA
Rfam family: Bacterial small subunit ribosomal RNA
Source: RNAcentral